ACCACUGUCACAGAGUCAAUACAGACUGGUCAAUACCAUCAGAACUAUACAAUCCCUCCUGUUGGUAUUCACUGUCAGUCUUGACAGACAGACUGGACAAUACCAUUUAAUCCCAAUCAAAUAAUUUAGCAAGCCUUUUUUGCACAAACAUACUCCUACACACACCCAUACACACUCCUUUAGGCAUUCCACGUUGUGAUUGAAAUAGUGGGAUUGUCAAAAUGUAUAUAGUUACGUCCUCACAUCUCUUCCUGCUUAAGCACACUUCGUACCAUAAUGAGUCUACAGGCUAUUGGCCCUGAAACCCUUCAGACAGACCAGACAGUAAAGACCAGUUCCCCUCAGACAGUAAAGACCAGUACCCCUCAGACAGACCAGACAGUAAAGACCAGUACCCCUCAGACAGUAAAGACCAGUACCCCUCAGACAGUAAAGACCAGUUCCCCUCAGACAGUAAAGACCAGUACCCCUCAGACAGUAAAGACCAGUUCCCCUCAGACAGUAAAGACCAGUUCCCCUCAGACAGUAAAGACCAGUACCCCUCAGACAGUAAGGACCAGUACCCCUCAGACAGUAAAGACCAGUACCUCUCAGACAGUAAAGACCAGUACCCCUCAGACAGUAAAGACCAGUACCCCUCAGACAGUAAAGACCAGUACCCCUCAGACAGUAAAGACCAGUACCCCUCAGACAGUAAAGACCAGUACCCCUCAGACAGUAAAGACCAGUACCCCCUCAGACAGUAAAGACCAGUACCCCUCAGACAGUAAAGACCAGUACCCCUCAGACAGUAAAGACCAGUACCCCUCAAACAGUAAAGACCAGUACCCCUCAGAUAGUAAAGACCAGUACCCCUCAGACAGUAAAGACCAGUACCCCUCAGAGAGACCACCAUUAGCACACAUUAGGCAAGUCAUUGUCCACACAAACUGCAUGCAGGACAAUCAUCAGUACCAGCUAAGACCCUGCCAUAUAGUGAUUUACACACAGUACCAGCUAAGACCCUGCCAUAUAGUGAUCUACACAGUACCAGCUAAGACCCUGCCAUAUAGUGAUCUACACGGUACCCAGCUAAGACCCUGCCAUAUAGUGAUCUACACAGUACCAGCUAAGACCCUGCCAUAUAGUGAUCUACACAGUACCAGCUAAGACCCUGCCAAAGAGUGAUCUACACAGUACCAGCUAAGACCCUGCCAUA
This 1198-nucleotide long non-coding RNA is filed under the name Oncorhynchus kisutch (coho salmon). RNAcentral's name for it is "lncRNA (ENSOKIG00005010872.1)". Lineage: Eukaryota; Metazoa; Chordata; Actinopteri; Salmoniformes; Salmonidae. The record is from RNAcentral.